This 303-nucleotide ribosomal RNA is filed under the name uncultured bacterium. Its description in RNAcentral is "partial 16S ribosomal RNA". It matches the Rfam family "Bacterial small subunit ribosomal RNA", at positions 507 to 809 of the family's 1533-position model. The record is from RNAcentral.
AGCAGUAGCCGCGGGAACACGGAGGGUGCGAGCGUUAAUCGGAAUAACUGGGCGUAAAGGGCACGCAGGCGGUUAUUUAAGUGAGGUGUGAAAGCCCCGGGCUCAACCUGGGAAUUGCAUUUCAGACUGGGUAACUAGAGUACUUUAGGGAGGGGUAGAAUUCCACGUGUAGCGGUGAAAUGCGUAGAGAUGUGGAGGAAUACCGAAGGCGAAGGCAGCCCCUUGGGAAUGUACUGACGCUCAUGUGCGAAAGCGUGGGGAGCAGACAGGAUUAGAUACCCCCGUAGUCCCUGUCUCUUAUAA